RNAcentral lists this ribosomal RNA (446 nucleotides) under uncultured bacterium. Its description in RNAcentral is "partial 16S ribosomal RNA". It matches the Rfam family "Bacterial small subunit ribosomal RNA", at positions 329 to 792 of the family's 1533-position model. The record is from RNAcentral.
UUCCAGACUCCUACGGGAGGCAGCAGUGGGGAAUAUUGCACAAUGGGGGAAACCCUGAUGCAGCAACGCCGCGUGAAGGAAGACGGUUUUCGGAUUGUAAACUUCUGUUCUUAGUGAAGAAGAAUGACGGUAGCUAAGGAGCAAGCCACGGCUAACUACGUGCCAGCAGCCGCGGUAAUACGGAGGAUGCGAGCGUUAUCCGGAUUUAUUGGGUUUAAAGGGUGCGUAGGCGGAUCGUUAAGUCAGUGGUAAAAUUGGGGGCCCCACCCCUUCCCCGCCAUUGAAACUGGCGCUCUUGAGUGGAAGAGAAGUAUGCGGAAUGCGUGGUGUAGCGGUGAAAUGCAUAGAUAUCACGCAGAACCCCGAUUGCGAAGGCAGCAUGCCGGCUUCCGACUGACGCUGAAGCACGAAAGCGUGGGGAUCGAACAGGAUUAGAUACCCUUGUA